RNAcentral lists this long non-coding RNA (205 nucleotides) under Vigna radiata. RNAcentral's name for it is "long non-coding RNA (VRAD_LNC007697)". The record is from RNAcentral. Lineage: Eukaryota; Viridiplantae; Streptophyta; Magnoliopsida; Fabales; Fabaceae.
GGGGUUUAGGAGUGCAAAAUCUGCAAUUUAAGUGUUGUGGAAUAUGCAGAGUGGUUGGGCAAGCAAAGGGGGCUCGCUGGACGAGUUUAUGGAGUUCUGGUAGUGAGUUUCAGUGGUUAGGCGAGCCAGCUUGCUGGGCUCGUGGAGCCUGUUAUUUCUACUCUUGUUGGGCUUGUGGAGCUUGUUGUUUCUGCUCCUUUUAAAC